CUUGCGAUCGGAAUCCCGCCUAUAGGUCGCAACGAUGCUGUCGUGAUCCUGUUCUUUGGCGGUGCGAAUAGCGGGUUCCCUCGUAGG
Non-coding RNA from Cordylochernes scorpioides, 87 nucleotides. The record is from the annotation of a GenBank genome assembly. Lineage: Eukaryota; Metazoa; Arthropoda; Arachnida; Pseudoscorpiones; Chernetidae.